Non-coding RNA from Pelobates cultripes (western spadefoot toad), 233 nucleotides. Lineage: Eukaryota; Metazoa; Chordata; Amphibia; Anura; Pelobatidae. The record is from the annotation of a GenBank genome assembly.
CGGGUCUCAUUGUGUUUAUUGAGGUUAUUCCUGGUUCCAGGUCAGGGGGUUAUUAUUGUCCUCAGUGACCGCUAAUGCAGCCAUUCAUUACUUAGUGAGCAGCAGGGAGGAUACUGGAUCUUUAAUACAAUGCUGUCACAAUUACAGACAAUUACACUAACAUGGAGAGAGAAGGGACAACAUGGAGAGAGAGAGAGAAGGAGAGGGGGUAACAUGGAGAGAGAGAGAGAAGG